This 485-nucleotide ribosomal RNA is filed under the name uncultured bacterium. Its description in RNAcentral is "bacterial SSU rRNA". It matches the Rfam family "Bacterial small subunit ribosomal RNA", at positions 359 to 836 of the family's 1533-position model. RNAcentral also lists the same sequence under 1 other name. The record is from RNAcentral.
GAUUUUCGCAAUGCCCGAAAGGGUGACGAAGCGACGCCGCGUGCGGGAAGAAGGCCUUCGGGUUGUAAACCGCUGUCGGGAGUUAAGAAAUGUAAGGAUGUUAAUAGCAUCUUUGCUUGACUAAGGCUCCGGAGGAAGCCACGGCUAACUCUGUGCCAGCAGCCGCGGUAAUACAGAGGCGGCAAGCGUUGUUCGGAAUUAUUGGGCGUAAAGAGCACGUAGGCGGCUAUGUAAGUCGGUUGUGAAAGCCUUCCGCUCAACGGGAGAACAGCAUCCGAUACUGCAUGGCUUGAGUGCGGGAGGGGAGAGUGGAACUUCUGGUGGAGCGGUGAAAUGCGUAGAUAUCAGAAGGAACGCCGGCGGCGAAAGCGGCUCUCUGGCCCAUAACUGACGCUGAGUGUGCGAAAGCUAGGGGAGCAAACGGGAUUAGAUACCCCGGUAGUCCUAGCCGUAAACGAUGGGCACUAAGUAGAGGGGUUUUAAUC